UACGGGGGGAGCAAGCGUUGUUCGGAUUUACUGGGCGUAAAGGGCGCGUAGGCGGCCACCGCAAGUCGACUGUGAAAUCUCCGGGCUUAACCCGGAAAGGUCAGCCGAUACUGCGGGGCUAGAGUGCAGAAGGGGCAACUGGAAUUCUCGGUGUAGCGGUGAAAUGCGUAGAUAUCGAGAGGAACACCUGCGGCGAAGGCGGGUUGCGUGGGCUGACACUGACGCUGAGGCGCGAAAGCGUGGGGAGCAAACAGG
RNAcentral lists this ribosomal RNA (255 nucleotides) under uncultured bacterium. RNAcentral's name for it is "partial 16S ribosomal RNA". It matches the Rfam family "Bacterial small subunit ribosomal RNA", at positions 524 to 776 of the family's 1533-position model. The record is from RNAcentral.